This 468-nucleotide ribosomal RNA is filed under the name uncultured bacterium. Its description in RNAcentral is "partial 16S ribosomal RNA". It matches the Rfam family "Bacterial small subunit ribosomal RNA", at positions 28 to 507 of the family's 1533-position model. The record is from RNAcentral.
GACGAACGCUGGCGGCGUGCUUAACACAUGCAAGUCGAACGGAAAGGCCCUGCUUUUGUGGGGUGCUCGAGUGGCGAACGGGUGAGUAACACGUGAGUAACCUGCCCUUUACUUUGGGAUAACUUCAGGAAACUGGGGCUAAUACCGGAUAGGAGUUCCUGCUGCAUGGUGGGGGUUGGAAAGUUUCGGCGGUUGGGGAUGGACUCGCGGCUUAUCAGCUUGUUGGUGGGGUAGUGGCUUACCAAGGCUUUGACGGGUAGCCGGCCUGGGAGGGUGACCGGCCACAUUGGGACUGAGAUACGGACCAGACGCCUACGGGAGGCAGCAGUGGGGAAUAUUGCACAAUGGGCGGAAGCCUGAUGCAGCAACGCCGCGUGCGGGAUGACGGCCUUCGGGUUGUAAACCGCUUUCGCCUGUGACGAAGCGUGAGUGACGGUAAUGGGUAAAGAAGCACCGGCUAACUACGUG